GACGAACGCUGGCGGCGUGCUUAACACAUGCAAGUCGAACGGAAAGGCCCUGCUUUUGUGGGGUGCUCGAGUGGCGAACGGGUGCGUAACACGUGAGUAACCUGCCCUUGACUUUGGGAUAACUUCAGGAAACUGGGGCUAAUACAGGAUAGGAGAUCCUGCUGCAUGGUGGGGGUUGGAAAGUUUCGGCGGUUGGGGAUGGACUCGCGGCUUAUCAGCUUGUUGGUGGGGUAGUGGCUUACCAAGGCUUUGACGGGUAGCCGGCCUGAGAGGGUGACCGGCCACAUUGGGACUGAGAUACGGCCCAGACUCCUACGGGAGGCAGCAGUGGGGAAUAUUGCACAAUGGGCGGAAGCCUGAUGCAGCAACGCCGCGUGCGGGAUGACGGCCUUCGGGUUGUAAACCGCUUUCGCCUGUGACGAAGCGGGAGUGACGGUAAUGGGUAAAGAAGCACCGGCUAACUACGUG
RNAcentral lists this ribosomal RNA (468 nucleotides) under uncultured bacterium. RNAcentral's name for it is "partial 16S ribosomal RNA". It matches the Rfam family "Bacterial small subunit ribosomal RNA", at positions 28 to 507 of the family's 1533-position model. The record is from RNAcentral.